Molecule: ribosomal RNA, 722 nt
Filed under: uncultured Fusobacterium sp.
Lineage: Bacteria; Fusobacteriati; Fusobacteriota; Fusobacteriia; Fusobacteriales; Fusobacteriaceae
Description: bacterial SSU rRNA
Rfam family: Bacterial small subunit ribosomal RNA
Source: RNAcentral
GAUGAACGCUGACAGAAUGCUUAACACAUGCAAGUCAACUUGAACUUCGGUUUGGGUGGCGGACGGGUGAGUAACGCGUAAAGAACUUGCCUCACAGAUAGGGACAACAUUUGGAAACGAAUGCUAAUACCUGAUAUUAUGAUUUUAGGGCAUCCUAGAAUUAUGAAAGCUAUAUGCGCUGUGAGAGAGCUUUGCGUCCCAUUAGCUAGUUGGAGAGGUAACGGCUCACCAAGGCGAUGAUGGGUAGCCGGCCUGAGAGGGUGAUCGGCCACAAGGGGACUGAGACACGGCCCUUACUCCUACGGGAGGCAACAGUGGGGAAUAUUGGACAAUGGACCAAGAGUCUGAUCCAGCAAUUCUGUGUGCACGAUGAAGUUUUUCGGAAUGUAAAGUGCUUUCAGUUGGGAAGAAAAAAAUGACGGUACCAACAGAAGAAGUGACGGCUAAAUACGUGCCAGCAGCCGCGGUAAUACGUAUGUCACAAGCGUUAUCCGGAUUUAUUGGGCGUAAAGCGCGUCUAGGUGGUUAUAUAAGUCUGAUGUGAAAAUGCAGGGCUCAACUCUGUAUUGCGUUGGAAACUGUGUAACUAGAGUACUGGAGAGGUAAGCGGAACUACAAGUGUAGAGGUGAAAUUCGUAGAUAUUUGUAGGAAUGCCGAUGGGGAAGCCAGCUUACUGGACAGAUACUGACGCUGAAGCGCGAAAGCGUGGGUAGCAAACAGG